CCUCCCUACCAAGGACAGGAGAGAUACAGAAAGGUAGACCACUUGGAGGCUUCAAUGUAGCUAAGAAGACCCACAUACCACAGAACACUAACAUGCAACUAUCAACCAUAAGUGUCGGACAGCCUUGCCAAGGACACCAAGGGCAGAAGAGAAAGAAGAGUUCCUGUCAAAAAAAGACCAAAGUCAGUGGCAAGGUGAAGAAGAAAAGCAUGCAAGUGAGAAAAACCUUCCAAAAGAAUCUGACAGAACAAAUUCCUCAGUCAUCUCCCUCCUGUUCGAGAAAACCUCGAAGAACAAUAAGACCAACAAUAUUCAUCUGUUUCCACAAGAUGGAUGAGGCACAAAGUGAAAAUGAAGAGGGAAUGAAUGAAAGACACUGGAAAACUGAGCCAUUCUCUGUAACAACCUGUGCAGCGAGUAAGUGCAGAGCCUGGGUCAGAGCCUUAGAACUCGCUACAGAGUGUCCGGAGGCAACUGUGGAGAAACGCCUAGUCUUAGAGGAGCCUUUAAAUGAGAAUCCAACAGAACACAAGGAUGCUGGGGACUGAAAUAAAAUCAAUCAGAUGUGCAAAUCAGAUGGAUGUGCAUGUGUUUCUGUGUU
This 601-nucleotide long non-coding RNA is filed under the name Chinchilla lanigera (long-tailed chinchilla). RNAcentral describes it as "lncRNA (ENSCLAG00000028262.1)". The record is from RNAcentral. Lineage: Eukaryota; Metazoa; Chordata; Mammalia; Rodentia; Chinchillidae.